AUACGGAGGGUGCAAGCGUUAAUCGGAAUCACUGGGCGUAAAGCGCGCGUAGGUGGAUCAAUUAGUUGAGGGUGAAAUCCCGGGGCUCAACCUCGGAACUGCCUUCAAUACUGUUGAUCUUGAGACCGAGAGAGGUGAGUGGAAUUCCUAGUGUAGAGGUGAAAUUCGUAGAUAUUAGGAAGAACACCAGUGGCGAAGGCGGCUCACUGGCUCGGUACUGACGCUGAGGUGCGAAAGCGUGGGGAGCAAACAGGAUUAGAAACCCUAGUAGUCC
Molecule: ribosomal RNA, 274 nt
Filed under: uncultured bacterium
Lineage: Bacteria
Description: partial 16S ribosomal RNA
Rfam family: Bacterial small subunit ribosomal RNA
Source: RNAcentral